UGAAAAUCCUACGCUCUGCCCAGGGCGUAGUGGUUCAUUGUAGGGCCACAUCAUGUUUUGAAUUUUCAAUGAUUAUCAUCAAUAAAGGACGUUUUGCAAUCAAAUUUGUGUUCACUGUCUUUCUGUUUUUACUUUCAUUUUCAAAACAUUAAAAAUGGCAAUGUUUUUUUGUUUUUUGUGACUUCCUUUAACUCUUUUCUAAAAUAAAGCAUGAAACAUCAUUCGUGCAGAAUUGAUC
This 238-nucleotide long non-coding RNA is filed under the name Lathyrus oleraceus (garden pea). RNAcentral's name for it is "Pisum sativum (pea) long non-coding RNA (PSAT_LNC036136)". Lineage: Eukaryota; Viridiplantae; Streptophyta; Magnoliopsida; Fabales; Fabaceae. The record is from RNAcentral.